AUUUAGAUUGUCAUCAACGUAAAUAACUAUGUGCACUUCAUAAUUUGUAUUUUAUCAUUCAGUAUGGAGCUUCAAAGAUGCCGGAAAGAAGGAUGGCAUCAUCAGGUGGGCUUCAUGAUGCCGUUGAUAAUCAACAAGAAAACUCUUAACGAGAACUACAAGGAGACGUGUCAAAACAUGUACCAUGCCCUGAUGCGCCAACAUUACAAAUCUUAUAUAAUGAUACCCUACAACUAUGGGUAAGUCUUGGUCGAGUAAAACCUCUUUUAUAUUCCUAAAUAAAUGCUAAGUCUAAUAUGGUUGUGUAUAUAUCUGCAUUUAUCAUUGGGUUUUGCUCAUAAUUUGCAUGGAGAGCGGCAAUCUUACAGUGUUCGACUCCAUGAGGUGCCCAUAGUCUGCAAUCCAACACUUCAUAGACCCAUUGAACAGGGUGUGGAAAUAAUUUGUAAAGAAGAACAAAGGAGUCAGUGGAGGGAAGUCGUAAUUGGAUGUUAGAAUAGAUUUUCCGUGUGCGAGAUAACAACAAGGAACUGAUUGGUGUGGGUACUAUGUAUGCGACUACAUACAUGGUCUUGUAGAAUGCGGGAAAGAAACUUCGGAGGAAGCCAGAAUGUCGCAAAUCUACAUGGCUUCUUUCGAUGUUGAUCGGAUUAACGCCAUGUGCGAGCAGCUCACAGGAUUCAUUGUGAAGGAGAUCCUGGAUCCUAGAGGCGAGUUCUACCAUGACGGACACAUCAAUAGCGUGUCCUCUUCAAACUCUUGAGGGAUUAGUAACUGCAGUAUAAACAUGACUUGUAUAUUUGUAAAUAUUUUUAAACGUGAUGUCGUGUAGUUUGUAUAUUUGUACAUAUAUUGUAAUUGCUAGCUAACUUAACUA
Molecule: long non-coding RNA, 877 nt
Organism: Panicum virgatum (switchgrass)
Lineage: Eukaryota; Viridiplantae; Streptophyta; Magnoliopsida; Poales; Poaceae
Exons: 4
Source: RefSeq, a predicted model, not a curated record